CAGUCGCCGCGGUAAUACGUAGGUGGCAAGCGUUGUCCGGAAUUAUUGGGCGUAAAGGGCUCGCAGGCGGUUUCUUAAGUCUGAUGUGAAGGCCCCCGGCUCAACCGGGGAGGGUCAUUGGAAACUGGGAAACUUGAGUGCAGAAGAGGAGAGUGGAAUUCCACGUGUAGCGGUGAAAUGCGUAGAGAUGUGGAGGAACACCAGUGGCGAAGGCGACUCUCUGGUCUGUAACUGACGCUGAGGAGCGAAAGCGUGGGGAGCGAACAGGAUUAGAGACCCCAGUAGUCCCUGUCUCUUAUAA
RNAcentral lists this ribosomal RNA (301 nucleotides) under uncultured bacterium. RNAcentral's name for it is "partial 16S ribosomal RNA". It matches the Rfam family "Bacterial small subunit ribosomal RNA", at positions 509 to 809 of the family's 1533-position model. The record is from RNAcentral.